GAAGAACUCAGGGAGCGAGUGUGUUGUCACACAACAGGAAGGCCCAGUGGAAGUCGGGGGCCAUGAAACAGUUUACAAGAUGUGACUUCCUCCUAAGGUUCUUAGCAGCUCCUGUGUAGGAUGGGAGAAGCCAAUCGAAUAGACCCAGGGUUGAAUAUAAUGGAAAGAAAGGGCAUAAAGAUAUUUUGAGAACUUGGAAAGGAUACAGUUAAAGUGUUUGGCCAUGAGGCUUUGCUUGAACAAAGACAAUAGAUAAAAACAAGAGGAAAUUGAUGGAUCUAGAAGAAAAUAAAAAGCCUCAUGAUAAUGACCUUGAGUUACAGGUACAUUGUGUUGUCCAUCCCAGGGAAAGGAGAGAGGCCAGGCAUGACCUGCGAGAGAAGGAGGUCAGUGAGAUGACUGGAUGGGAGACGUGGUUAGCCCAGGUGAGCCAGUGGUCUUGUAUUCCACCCAGACAGAUUGGUAGUGAGAAGGGGUUCUGCAUCAAGGCCUAAGUUGAAUUGGGACACUGAAACUCACUAGUGUGUGCUCGCGGGUUAAUUAUUCUCUCGAUGUCUCUGUUUUCUCAUUUUAAACUAGGGAUAAUAAUAACAUCUUUCUCAUGGAACAUUUAUGAGCAUUGAAGGAGAUAAGAUAUGCAAAUGAAACUACUAUAUUUAAGAGAAUAAAUUGGAUGGCAUAUGACACCGCAUAUUGCUUGUACAGACGAAACAGUGGAUUUAAAUCUCUGUGCACAAGCUCGAGCUCCAGGCAGUCUAUUAGGAAAGAAAGGAAGAAGAAAAAAAAAAUCCUGAACCUGACAAAAAAGAAGAAAAAGAAGAAGAAAAAAAAUCAUGAAAACCAUCCAGGCAAAAAUGCACAAUUCUGUCUCUUGGGCAAUCUUCACGGGGCUGGCUGCUCUGUGUCUCUUCCAAGAAACCGACCAUUUCUCCUUCGAAGGAUUGUCGUUCCUUUCAACACCUUCUGAUGAGCGCGAUUCCUCUCUCACCUUCAUUUUUCUCGCACCCCCUCCCAUCCCACCGCAACUUCUCCGCCCACUGGAGACCUGGAUGGUGCAGAGUAGAGGGGAAGAUGAUUCAGCCAAGAGCGCAUUCACCUUUGCUCGGAGCCAAGUACGCAGUCCCAUUCAGGGUGAAAGCCCGGCUGAGUUCCUGCCACUCCCAGCAAACACGCAGGUGCCCGCAGCAGCCCAAGCUGAGCAGUGGUCCUGA
This 1211-nucleotide long non-coding RNA is filed under the name Oryctolagus cuniculus (rabbit). RNAcentral's name for it is "lncRNA (ENSOCUG00000032363.1)". The record is from RNAcentral. Lineage: Eukaryota; Metazoa; Chordata; Mammalia; Lagomorpha; Leporidae.